Bubalus bubalis (water buffalo) is the source of this 10416-nucleotide long non-coding RNA. RefSeq lists it as uncharacterized. The transcript is spliced from 2 exons. Lineage: Eukaryota; Metazoa; Chordata; Mammalia; Artiodactyla; Bovidae. The record is from RefSeq and is a predicted model, not a curated record.
UCUUCUGACUUGCAGGCAGAUUCUCCUGCCUUCAAGGCAGGAGACCCCCAGAAUCUGCUUGCAAGAUCCCUUUAUUGCUGAGCCACCAGGGCUAAACGGGAUGCAGUAUCUGCUGGACUAGGCUGCCAGAGUCCUGCAGGAAGCCAGAGGGAAGGGGGGCACUUUAGAAUCAUUCAUAGAGGCUUAAGGUGGUUUUGAAUUGGGUGUCUAUCACUGGCAUUUAAGAAUCUAAUAUUAAUAUGAAUAGAUAUAGGUAUGAAUAGGUAGUUUUAUGGUUAACAGCCAGAGUGAUUAAGUCUUCUGAAAUAUUGCUUGAGAAUCUGAACCAACUUCCAGAAUGCAGAGGCCUGUUUUAAGACCUUGGAAGCUUAAACUGAUCUGUGUUGUACUUUCUGGAAAGUAAUCUACCCUUAAGAAUUUGGUAGUACAGUUGACCUUUGAACAACUAGGGUUUGACCUGCACUGGUCCACUUAUAUUCUCAUUUUUAAAAAAAUAUUUAAACACUACCAGUACUGCAUGAUUGGUGGUUGCAUGAAUCCUCAGAUGCAAAAGUGUAGAUAGAGGGGAACCUUGGAUUCAGAGAGCCAUUAAGUUAGGCUCAGAUUUUUCAACUUCUCAAAGGGUAGGUGCCCUUAACUUGUGUUGUUCCAGGGUCAACUGUAGUUGUUAACCCCCUGAGGGAGGUAAAGGGUUAUUUUGUGCCUUCAUUCCUCACACAUUACUGGUGGGAAGGUGCAAUGGUGCAGCUGCUUGAGUGUGCGCCAGUAUCACCUGGAGGGCUCGUUAAAGCAGAUUGCUGGGCCCCACCUCAGAGUAUUUGCAUUUCUCAUAAGCUCCUAGGUGAUACUGAUGCUGCUAAUCUGGAGACCACCUUUGGAGAACUAGUCUUUAUGAGAAGGAAAAAAAAAAUUAUUGAGCACUUAGAAUGUGCUAAGCCUACUUCAUUUUCCUCCCUUAAUAUCAAAGAUGGAAUUCACAUUCCCAUAAACCUCACUGCUGUGAAAUUCACAAGACAGGGAUUAGUAUAUUCCCAAAGUUGUGUGACUGUAAACACUGUCUGUGAAGGAGGGAAUCUGACGCCAGGAGGAAGGCAAAGCCCUGAUGGGAACAGGCAGAGAGCACAGCACGCUAGGCUGGGAGGUAGCAGCAGAAUUCCGGGAUAUUUUCAUCAUUUCAAAAAGAAACCUCUUAGCUCUUGGCAAUCAUUCCUUAUACCCCAACCCCUUCCACCCCCCACCCCCAGAAAUCAGUCUAUCUGUAUCCUUAUAAUUUUGCUUAUUCUGGACUUUUCAUAUUUUGGAGAGGGUGACUGACAACACAGCCUGUGACCGUCACAGCCUCAUACCUUAUGUUCUGUAAACAACGAUGAUGCUGACCUUGGUAGCACUGGGCCUGCACGCCUCCUUGGCCGUAGGCCGCUUUUGUCUGUCGUAGUUUAUCAGUAGUCUUUGAAGACUCCCGGCUGCCGAUGCCCGGAGAGAAUAAACACGCCUGCAGUCCCCGCGGCUCCUCGAGUCUUCUUCCAGCUUCCCCUGUCGCGCCUGAUCUACCCUGGGUUCAGUGACCAGUAUGAGCGGGAAGACACAUAUAAAGGAAGUCAUACGGUUCAUACAGCCUUUUGUGUUUUGCCUCUUUCACUUACUGUAAUGGAGUCAAUGUUCAUCUGUGUUUUAGCAUUCUUUAUUAUGGCUGAAUAAUAUUCCAUUGCUUAUAUAUACCACAUUUUAUUUAGCCAUGUACCCGUUGAUGGACAUGUGGGUUAUUUCCCCUUUUUGGCUGUUAUGGAUAACACGGUUAUGAACAUCUGUGUGCAAGUUUCUGGGUGAACAUGUUUUCAGUUCUCUUGGGUAGACCCAGAAGAGUAGAAUUGUUGGACCAUAUGAUAAAGCUAUGUGUUUGAGGAACUGUAAACUGUUCUCUAAAGCAGUUGCACCAUUUCACAUUCCCACCAGUAAUGUGUGAGGGUUGUAGUUUCUCCAUAUCUAGUCAACACUUGUUACUAUGUUUUUUAUUAUAGCCACCAAGUAGAUAUAAAGUAGUAUCUCAUGUGGUUUGGACUUGCAUUUCCCUAGUGGUUUAUGAUAUUAAGCAUAGGGAAAGAGCAAAUUAGCCAAGAUGGCUGUGGUCAGGUUCUCUCAGCCUGGCUCUCUCACUCUUGCCCCACAUUUUGUAAUAAUAAUUAUUGUGUAACAGCUGAGUCAUUUAAGGCACUGUGCAGGCGUGUCACAAGGUACUCGCUUGGCCAUAGGCUACUUUUGUUCUGUAAGCACGUAUAAGCUCCAGCUGGAAAGCCCUUGUGGUGGUGUGCGGUCAUGUCAUGCCCUGUCUGCUGCUACGGCUGCUGCGCCAGCCAGGAGAGAAGAAACGCAUCUGCCGUUCCUACAGCUCCCCGCACUUUCUUUCAGCCUCUUAGUUCGUGCCUUGCCUACCAUGGGUUCAGCAACAGUGCGCACAGUGAGAUAUGAUGCUGAUAGCUCUAAGUUGCUAAGAGCUGGAGAGAGUGAUUAUCACCUGAGGGGUAAGGAGCUGAUGAAAGCUAGUCAGACUUCCCAGAUGACCAGCACGCCUCUUGCCUGCACACAGUCCUGCCCAAGUGGACUAUAGCGGACUGGUGAGAAGUGAGCCAUUUCGGGCCAGCAUUAAAUGAGUGGGUGACCCUAGAAGCUGUGUCCCAGCGGAUCAAGACCCCACUGCAGCUGCUAAAAGGGUGCUAAUGACAUCCUCCAUCUCUUGGCCCUUCCACAGAAGAAGAAGGGGUGCGGUUUGUAAAGGUGCUUACAGCUGAGCUGGACGCCACCGUCGGCCUGAGUAGGCAUGCCCUGGCUGCUGCCGCUGAGCCUGCCGUUUCUGAGAAAGUUACUCCUUUCAGGCUGCUGAGCCGGGUCUGUGUCACCUCAGACCUCUGUUUUUUUGUGGACAUGCAUGUGCGUGAUCCAGUGGGAGGAACUAGGAGACCUGGGACAGAGGCCUGAGUGAUUCCAGCAGCACGGAAUCCUUCUGAAACAUUGAUACUCAAGUCUGCGUGAAGUUCAGAGUCUCUUUGUUUUCUGUUUGUCACAAAGUAUCUUUCUCUCCAGCAAGUCCAAGUGAAGAAAAAAAUGGCUUGGGCUAUUGUGAACUGCAAGAGGCAAAACCCCAGUUAAGUUCCAAGUUAUGAACCGGGAGCCUCCCAGGGCCUUGUGGGACCAUGAGAGUCAAGUCUUGGGCAAAUAUGUUGUUCUUUUAGCACUCGAGACCAACAGCAUCGCCUCUCCUCUGUGAUCACUGAAGGCUAGCGGGAUGCAGCUCUGGAGAAUUCAGGGACUGCUUUUACCCCAUGUCCACUGGAGACCCACUGGACUCUUCUCCAAGGUUCAGCCUUUGGGGAUCUUUCAGGGCACCCCUAAGAAAGAGGGCAAACUUCCUGACUUGACUCCCAGAGGAGUGAUAGGGGCUGGCCAGCUGGGGACAUGGCCUCUUGUGGGAGGAACCCUCCUCCUCUGGUUGUGGGAACCAGCAAGCUUUGUUUUUCCUGCUGCUAUGUAGGACAGUAAAAAAAAAAAAAAAAAAAAAGCACAAUUUCAUGAAGGAAACACAGGCACCUUACCUCUGUAGCCUUUUUCCCUGAAUUUUCUCUGUAACAAAACUUAAAAUCUUUAAGGCGUGCUCCAGUCCUGCUGAAAGAAUCUUAACCACAUCCAUGGAUGUUCCAUGAACAUGACAUUCAUUUCAUCCUUUUCCAAAUGGACUUUGGAGUGCUUUACCAACAAGGCCAAAAGAAAAGGCAAACGUCAACGCAUCUCACUUUUAACAACUGUCUUUAACGGGGAAGACGCUUAUUUCAAGCUGUGGAUGUCAUAGCAGUUGCCCCAUAUAUGGAGUUGGGAGUGAAUUCUGAGUUUAAUAACCCCAAACCCCAUCUCUGGGCAUUAGUGAGGCUUCUCCUGGCGCAGCAGUGAAGUGACUGCCACUUUUCUCUUCUUACCGCUUUUCUUGAAUAGGGAAGUUCUGCUCAGUGGUUUUUUCUAAGUCAGUUGCUGUCUGUAGCCCCUUCUGUCCUCAAAUGUCAUUGUCCUGGUUCUCAAAUCAGUGGGCAAUUUUCGCCCUAUUCUGGCUUCCAUCAUUGUCUGAGCUUAGCUUAGGACCCCCAGGCCUGUCUGUACCCACUUUAGGAGACUCUAACCCCAGUGAGUGUGUGUGGGAAGGAGGGGAGGGAGAGAUUUGGGGCACGCGAGGACUGGCUGACAUGGUGCCUACUUUGGCAGCUCUAGGUAAUGUGUCCACUUAACACAGCUUCCCAGUAUUCUGAUGCCCAGUGGAGCCACACCCUGACCACCCUUGCCUCCCCACACCUCUGCCUGAGGUCCAGGGCUGUAUCUCUGUGCCUCCCCUAGAGGUCCUGCCAGCCCUCAGAUCUAAGCUGUCCCCAUGUCUCUCUCCCCCUGUGUCCCACCAACCCCCUGGGUCACUGAGACCAGCGCUAGGCUUCCGAUUCAAUCUGAGGACUCCCUCCUCCCCCAUUCUCAGCCAGAUGCCAGCACCCAGGCACCGCAGGCCUACCCGGCUCACCCCGCCCCCUCCCAGCUCCUCCUCUUUGCAAAGCUGAGAUGUGGGCCCUCCCCACAGCAAAGCUCUCCCUUCCCAGGAGGUGAACCCAAGGCCUUGCUGGUCUCAGCCCCUUGGCCUGCAUGGCAUCCUCAGCGACCACAGGUCCUGCUGGUGGGGGUCCUGAGCUGCACCACACCCUUCCAUCUACGCCCUGAAACCUCUUCAUCAUUCACCACCAUUGCAUUUGGGCUCACAUCUCAGCUGGCUGAUAAUGUGCCAGUUUUAGUAACAGCCUAAUGAUCACUGGAUUCACUGUAACUCCCUAUGUAUGUGUUUGGCACCUAGUGAGAACUUCCUACCUUUUCCCUCAAUGCUGCUUCCUGGAAAUGGUGCUUUUGUUUCAUGAAGUUUAUGAGCACCAACCAUUGUCACAGGUGACCAGAUAUUAACACCAUCUCCUUGUUUUCCUGCAGAAUCACCACUCAGAUGAUAAAGGCAAACACCAAGCAAGAUAACAUUUUGAUUUUUCUCCAUUAAAACCAGUUUCAUAUAACACAUAAGUCAAGAAAAGAACUGGAUGUGAGGGGUAUUAAAAUAUGAGAAGAGCUUACAAAGCCCACAGUAAAUAUAAAGUUAGUCAAAUUUAGUUAUUCUAUUUUGCUUAAACUUUUUGCAGCCCCACCUUUCAGAAGUUGGGCUGUCAGCUUCAGAUUGGUGCAUCAGUCUACAUCAGGGUGUUCAGGGACGUGUGUCGUGACACUCCUCUGGGCCAGGCCUUUCUUCAAAAGUGGGACUCACCAGACUUUGUCAAGACAAGCUCCCGGUGGUAAAGCCUGUCUCCCCCUGAGAGGGCAGAGGCGGGCAGCCCUGGAUAGACACGCUGCCCACGCACACCACCAAGCCUAGCCCUUGUACUGUGGACAGCUUGGCUGUUAUUGGACCAAGCGCCUCUGCUCUCUCCCUCUUUCCUGAAAAGAAAGCAGGGCUUUGGGCAGUUCUUCCCUUAGGAAGUUAAAAACCACCAAAUGGUCAAGUUUGCAUUGUACCUGUCACAACCCAGCUCCUCACAGAUCAGCUAACGGAUGUGGCUGCUGCGGGCCCGGCUCCACACUUGGCCUGUGGUGCCUGCGGGCUUCUCACCCAGCGUGGCCCGGAGACAGGGUGGAGGCCACGCCCGCCUUUACAGAGGGAGCACUGGGAGCCAGGCUCAGCUCAGAGCAGUCUCCUGAAGGGUCAGAGGGUUUGUGGUGUAAGAAGCUCACUCCUCUACCCCUCCCACUCUUCGAAUAGUACUCUCUGCCCCCUUCCCCCCAAACUCACAAAAAACAAUCAGAGAUUAUCAUAUCAUUCCUGGCUAAUAACCACUGCAGCUGUAAGACUGGCAAAAACUGAGAUACAGGGCAGAAACACGUCUCUACACCCCAACUUUCCAAGACACUCUGCUCCCCGAACCUCAGGCUUCUCAGGGCAGGACUGCCUAUAGUGAGAAGUGCAUUCUCUGCAAGCAGCCUGGGGUCCCGUCCUCUGCCAGGAUCCCUGGGGGUGGCGUGGAGGCUAGACAGAGGAUUUCCCCUUGGCACAGCUGCAGCAAAGAGACAACGUGUUGUUUGGGACAAAAAAUGCUACCGUCCCUAUUCCUGGAAGAUAUGACCUUCCCGGAGAAGUUACUGUCUCUCCCAACAAAGGCAGGACAUUCUGUAGCUGAGUAGGAAAGUGGCCCCGAGUUUUAGGAAAGAGUUGGGAUCUGAAGCACUAUUCUGAGAGAAUUUCCUCGUAAGAAAUGCCUCUUUGGUUAUUUGACAGUGGAUGUGUGCCCUAGAUUUACCAGAAAUUCAAAUAUUAUAUGAAUAGGCAGACUUUUAGGGUCUACAUUUUUAGUUUUUUCUCAAGUAAUUUCAUUUCUUUUCAGUAAAGGCAUGUCUGGAGUGAAAUUUAACAUAUAUGCUUUCAUAAUGCACAAAUCAGAAGACGCUCCACUGGGAUCUAAGUUCUGGUUCAGGAAAACAAGGUCAUGGUAGUGACAACAUGGUCAGAACUGAGCCACCUUCGCUGGAAGAUGGCCAGACGAAACACUAACACAGGUGCGUGUCUGGAACCUCUGAUUUCAAGUUCUGCUCUCCUUGAGACACAUUCUCUCACUGUAAAGCCAGGGGGCAGACCCGUCUUUCUAAACAGUACUCUCUUGGAACUGUUUAUCAAAAAUAUUUUUAUAGUACAAAGACUAGAGUACAAAGGAAAACCAAAUAAAAGCCCUUGCUUAAAGCUCAAAAGAAAAAGCUGUUAACUCUGCACUGCUCCCGCCUCAAAUGAUAGCAUGCUGCUGGUCACUCGGAGGUGACGCCGCACCCUGAUUCUCUGAGGCGUUGCGUUCCAGGCACCACUGUGUCUGAGGCAUCUGAGCAACACAUCACAGCAGGAGAAGCCAGCUUCACAGGAGAAAUGGCAAGUGUUCCCCUCAAGCUCUGUCCUACAGAGUCAAUACGAAUAACAGGGCAAGUCUGCGUGGCUUGCUGCUGGAUCACAUUCCAGGCACAUGAAACUGAAGUGACCAGUCUCACACGAGGAGCUGCGGGUUUACAGGUACAUCUCUAUGUAGCUCAUAUCCGUAGGAGAACAGGCUGAACUAUGGAGUGUUCUUGAGCAGAAAGGAUGCGCAGUCACUUUUAUCAGUUAGCUCCCUGUGGUUCUGUGUGGGGCGCACUCUGGAGAUACAUGUUUCUUGAGACGUUAGCUUGAACGUGGGAAGAACACACGUGUCUCUGAUGUCCGCAAUGCCGUGAGCUCCUGGGCCUGCCUCGUGCUUCAGCUGAGGCUGACGGGAGGGGACUGGGCUGGGCAGGUAGACUCAAGAGGGGUGCUUAUGUGGUAUCUCACAGCAAGGAGGUGGUUGGUUUUUCUCAAGAAAGCACUCCGAGCUUUUUGAUUCUGACAACCACUGGCCGUCACCCAGGGGUCACCAUGCCCAGCUGGCCUCCUGAGCACCCCCUCCCCAUACCCCUCAGCAGUUGCCAAGAAGACAGGUCCACUGGCCGCGGGGACAAGACCUUCCAUGUCUCAGUGGUCACAGGAGCACUGCUCACCUUAUGCCACGCUCUACUAGGGGGGCUAGCAACAACAUGAACAGCUGCCCACCCCGCACAGCCUGCGGCUCUGCUGCAGCGCUCGGGGUCAGCCUCAGAGGAGGAACAAAAGACGAGGCUUUCUAUUAGGAAGCCUUAGAAGGAGGCCCUUUAACAGGAAGUAAAGUCAGAGACAGGAAGAUACAGAGCAGUCCACGAAGCAGCAACGUGUGCCCUGCACCCGUGGGAAGCAGUGCCGUUAAGCUUUAGUAGCUUUAUGAGUGGGGAGCACAAAAGUUAUCUAAAAACCCCAGCGUCACCAACACAGAAUAGCAUGUGAUUAUUCAGAGCCCAUUGGCAAAGCAAUCCUAACCCCUGGGCCCCACCUCUUCUCUGGAAACAGCCAGGCUUCUCGGGGCCCAUGUUCAGUGGCCAGCUUUGGAGAGGUUUUCCAUGCCGUGAGGCCACCUGGGCAAUAAAGCUGCCCUCAAAGCCUCACCCUGGGGGACUUUGUAACCCUGAGCCCCAACCUGUGCCUGGAAAGCAUUGCCAUUCUCCCGAAAUGGACACUGACAGAAGAAUACAAAACAAGAAAGGCGACCAUAAAUCAAAGGGAAGUGACGGUCCACUUAAAAAAAUCAGGUUUUGUUCUCAUCAUACAUGUCCAAAGAUGGUUCGAUUGUGGAGAAUUCACUUUCGUACACCAGGCUUCGAGGCGACAGAGAGUUCCGAUGAAAGAAGUGACCACCUGGAAAAGGAGCAAGAAAAAUGGACUUAAUAGGUCGUCAGGUCUAUACUCCCCACCUGGCUUGAAGGAAAAGAAUGUGGAUUAUCUUCAAAGCAUCACAUUUUCCCAAACAUGUCCAUUUUGGGCUCUUAUGAAAAGAAUACAGACAUCCCUCAGUGUAAGCACACUUUAAAUAUAUUAAUGUCGGUGCUUGGAUCCCCAAGAGAUUAACCACUGGAGGUCUUCCAGCAAAAGCUGCCUGGUGCUCUUAAAAAGAUUCCACUUAUACAUUUGAAGGCUUCUGUUCUGAGCUAAGCAGGCCAGUGGAGGUAGGAGAGGGUACAGGGUCAUCAGCUGGGCAGACUGACAGGUCAGAAUGCAUGAAAAAGUUUCUGUCUAUAUCAAAGUUCCUUUACAUGAUUAGCUCUAUACAUGUUAAGACCAGUAAUUUCCAGUCCUUUCUCAGACAGCCACUGUGAGCUGAUCCAUAUCUCUAAAUAAUAUGUAUACAUAUGGCUGAUUCAUAAUAUUGUACAGCAGAAACUAACACAACAUUGUAAAGCAAUUAUAUUCCAAUUUUUUUAAAAAGGUGGAAAAAAAAAAAAAGAAAAUCCAUCAAUCAAUCGGUGUGGUCUUUUUCUGGGCAGUUGAUUCGUUUGUUUGGCUGUGGCAGGUCUCGGUGGUGGCGCGUGGGGGUUUGUUGCGGCGUGCAGGUGCUCUCACUGUGCCACGCCUCUCACUGUGCCACGCAGGCUUCCUGCAUCUGCUGCACGUGACCCCACAGCUCCUGAGCUCAGCAGGUGGGGCAUGUGGGCUCUCUAGCUGUGGCGCGCAGACUUAGUUGCCCUGCAGCAUGUGGGGUCUUAGUUCCCCGAGGAGGGAUUGAACCCAUGUCCCCUGCAUUGGAAGGUGGAUUCUUAACCACUGGACCACCGGGGAAGUCCUCAUUUGUCCAUCUUCACACUAAUACAACACUGUCCUGAUUACUACAGCUCUUUGAGUCUUGAAAUAAGGUAUUAUAAUUGCUGUAACUUUGUUCUUAUUUCUUAAAUGAUAUGAUGGACAGGGAGGAGAGGAAAGAUAUUAUAUAUAGUUUUAAAUGAAAGCAUUUCAUGAUCACUUCUUCUUGUUUAACUUUCCUUAUUAAAAACUUCUGUAUUUAAAAAACUGGGAUGAAUUAAAAGAUGCGUGCCAUCUGUAUAAGCAGACCUCUUAAGACGAGUCCCAAGUAAGAGAUGGGAUAUUUGAUCUCUGAUUGCUGAGUCUCAGUGCUCAGAAGAAUCUGCACAGUCCAACGGGGCUUAAAGCUUAAAGAUUUAAAAAAGAAAACAAAAGACACCGAGAAAAGAGGAAAUUUUCUGCUCUGCAGGAAGAACUAAAGCCUCCAGAAGUGGAAAUGACCUAAGUUUUUUAUGUUAGUGUAUUGAUCAGCUGACACCAAAUCUUUGGUAAUAAACCAUGGGUCAGAAUUUACUUAGUAAUCUACCCAGCUAUUAACCAGUUUGCUUGAGAAAAAUAAAAUAUCAAGAGAGGAACACACAAGCAGCUGAAUUUUAGAGAAAAGCAUGAUUCUGGCUUUGCCAAGAAAGCAUGGUAAAUUUUUCAACACCUGGAAACACCCUGUUUACUGAUUAACUGAUUCUUAUUAUCGGCGACAUGAUGUCACUAAGUAAGCUGUUAAUGGAGGUAUAACCUGUAUACAGAUGUGCACAGUGUAUAAGUUUACAGCUGGGUGAGUUUUUACAGAGGAGAUACCCGUGAAAUCACUGGGUCAAGAACCAGAACCCUACCAGCACUCUACAAGGACCUCUACUGAUCCCAGUCACCAGGGCUUCUCCGAAGGAAACCACAAUUCAGACUUUUCAGACCAUGGUUUAGUUUUGCCUGUUUUUAAUUCUACAUGAAUAGAAACAGAGUAUAUAUUCUUUUAUGCCUGGAUUUUUUCAGACAAUAUUAUGUUGUGACAUUCAUCUGUCAUUGAAUACAGCAGUAGUUUGUUCACUUUUGUUGCUGUGUAAUACUCCAUGGUAUGACUGCCCCACAAUUUAUUUAUCUAAUCUUCUAUUUAAAAAAAAUUAAAAUAGAAGAUUUUUAUUCUUUAA